Long non-coding RNA from Tympanuchus pallidicinctus (lesser prairie-chicken), 483 nucleotides. RefSeq lists it as uncharacterized. The transcript is spliced from 3 exons. The record is from RefSeq and is a predicted model, not a curated record. Lineage: Eukaryota; Metazoa; Chordata; Aves; Galliformes; Phasianidae.
UCCCUUUUUGUAGCUAUGUAGGAUGCAAUCUGAAAACAUAUUAAGGCAAAUAGCAGAUAGUGAAGCCUUCGUUUUACAGCACAGCAGACACUUUAUUGAAAAUGGGUACCUCUCUAAGUCAGCCAGAAUGCAAGGCAAAGUCAGAGCAACAGGUUGAGAGACUUCAGUAGGUAUUUAAAACCUGACUGCUCCUUUCCACAGAAAGAUGUCUUAAUAAACUAUUUAUUCACUCUUUUUAGUGGCUUUAAACACAUGAAUAUGACCUAACAGCCUUCUUACAUAGAAAAUGGGAAAUAACUCAUUUGAAGUCAGGUUGUUCUAAUGUCUUCUAUCCUGGCAAAGCAGCUACAGUCACUGUGCAGACAACUUGCUGAACAUUGUCUUCCAGAAUGUCCACCUGAUAAUCUGAUUGAGUAGUAUGAAUGCUGUUUCCUUCUACUGACCAGGAUUCCUACCUUGAUGAAGAUUCUGGUAAGGUAGCAU